RNA transcript from Triticum urartu, 3238 nucleotides. It is a transcript of the gene named UvrB/UvrC domain protein (DUF3506), with no coding region annotated. NCBI's taxonomy places the organism in Eukaryota, Viridiplantae, Streptophyta, Magnoliopsida, Poales, Poaceae. The record is from RefSeq and is a predicted model, not a curated record.
GGGCCCCCACCCGUCAUGUUCGCCCCCCACGAGGUUCGUCUGCUCCCCGCGAAAGUCUUAUCAGUUACGCCCGCCCUCGACCCAAUCCACAGGAAAGGGGGACAACACAAAGCCGACCACGCGCCACGAGCGCACGAGCACGAUUCAUCCGGUGCGUCGCGCGGCGGCUUCCAUCUCCGCGGCCGUGCUGACUUCGCCUCCAUGGCGUCCGUCUACACCGCGCCCCGCGCGCCGCUGCCCGCCACGGCCGCCUCCUUCCCCUCCUCGUCCUCGUCCUCGCGGCAGCUGGACCCCAACCCUAGCCGAUUCCUCGCCGCGCACCGCGGCCAGCGCCUCCUCCGCGUCCGCCGCCUGGCGGGCGCCGCGCCGACUCGCCGCGCCUCCGACGUCGCCUCGGUGUUCCGGUGCGGCGCGCGCAGCCCCGGUGCGGACCCCGGCGGCGAGCCACGCCGAGGCUGGGACGCUCUCUUCCACGAUGCCCUCCAGGGCGCCGUGCGGCGGUGGAGCGAGUACGUCAGGAAUUACUGGCCCUCCGCACACCCCUCGAAGGAGGCGGGCCUCGCGAAGGGAGCGGAGAGUUCUCACGAACUGGAGGAGAGAGGGCAGGGAGUGGAGGAAGACGGUGAGGAGGUGGACGUGGUGCAGGAAGCAGGGAAGUGGAGCUGGGAGAGGUGGAAGCAGCACUUCGCCCUCAUUCAGGAGAGCGAGCGCCUUGUUGAUGAACUGCAGCUACAACUCCGCACUGCUGUGUGUAGAGAAGACUAUAGGAGUGCCCACAAACUGAAGUUAGCUAUUGCUGCUACAUCAAGAAAUGAUACUGUCGGCAGAGCAAUAUCUGAGUUACAUAGGGCCAUAGAAGAGGAGCGCUAUGUGGAUGCAGCUUAUAUUAGAGACCACGCUGGUGCAGGACUGUUGGGAUGGUGGUCUGGGAUUUCUGGAAGUUUGUCUGAUCCAUAUGGUCUUAUAAUCCGUAUAAGCGCUGAACAUGGUCGAUACGUGGCAAAAAGUUACGAUAUCAGGCAGCUGGCUUCAGAUGGCCAUGGUUACCCUAUAUUCGAAAUUUAUUUUGCAGAGGCAAAUGGAGGAUACAACCUGCAGGCAGUGCAUCUGAAACCAGAUGUCAGUGAUUCGGACCAGUUGCAAAACAUGUUGAGUGGAAAACUAGAUGUCAACAAUAUAAACAUAUCUAGCAGUUCCUUAGGUGCUAAACACGAGGAACACGAUGAAGGCAUAAGCAUGGACGAUCAAAAUAGCGAUGAUAGUGAUGUUGCUGCUGGUCCAGCUGGUUUGAAAAACUUGUCAAAUGAUUCAACUCCAAUUCCCAGGAUCAAAAUAUUGAAGGUAGCGCCUAUGGAAAACAUCAACCAGGACUAUAUAAUUAAAAUAUUUGACCAGAUUUCAGAGGAAGAUGAUGACAAUGAUGAAGCUGAGAUCGAAAAUGAAUCUUCACAAGAUAUUGGCGAUGAAGAUAACAAUGAAGAAGCAGGAACAAUUUCUGCAGAAGAGAAUAAUGAUGAGUCUGGUGAGGAAAGUGAUAUUGAAGCAUUGUUAUCGAUUGGAAUUGAAGUUGAUAAUGAUAAGGAUUUUGCUUCACAGUCCUCACCUAAAACAUUUGAACGCAUGCCAGCUAAAUUAGACAAGAGAGACCGCUUUUCAUUUACCUUCUAUACUGAACAAUCCAGUAAAAAGCCAGCUGCAGAAAAGGCUCAGCAGAUUCCGAGGAAACGGGUUGGCUUCCGUACCACUGAGCAGGAUGGUGAUCUCAAGUUUGAUCGUUUAAAGUUGUCUGGGGGCAAUAGGAAACUACCGCAGGUACUACAACUUGGUAUUAAGCAACUUAAUAACAAGGUUCAGCCAAAACUAUAUGGAGUUACCCACUUCAGCCGUAUUCAGAUGCCCAUCUCUUCAGAUCCUCUUAGUGGUCUAUACGAGACUGCAUCUGGGUUUGACUCAGAAGUUCUUAGUUUACAACGGAAAUUCGGUCAAUGGCAGGAGGAGGAUUCAUCUGAGGAGCACUUGGAUCUUAAGUUUUAUGAGUAUGUCGAAGCUGCAAAAUUGACUGGGGACAAUCUUGUGCCAGCGGGUCAGGUUGUCUUCCGUGCGAAAGUUGGCAAACACUAUCAGCUUCCUCAUAAGGGGGUCAUCCCUAGAGAACUUGGAGUGGUUGCUAGGUAUAAGGGGCAAAGGAGAAUUGCAGAUGCUGGCUUCAAAAAUCCUCGAUGGGUUGACGGCGAGCUUUUGAUACUAGAUGGAAAGUUCAUCAGAGAUGGUCCUGUGAUAGCUUUCUUCUACUGGACAUCAAAUCUCCAUCUUUUUGAAUUCUUUAGGCGGUUGAGUCUUCCUGACUAGUUUCAUUUUAAGAGACGCAGUUCAAGUCCACGUUACAUUGUCAGGAGAGACAGCCCUUUAGGCGGUGCAAUUGAUGGAACGGGGCCUUGCUAGCCCAUUAUGCUUAUAUAAGUAGCUGCCGUGUCAUUGAUUACACAGUGUUGGACUGCUCUUCUUGACUGGUUGGUGCUUGUUGGAGGAACUGUCUAGCUCUGCCCUCAGUCCAAGAACCAUUGUGUUCCCAGAGACCACAUGAUCACAAGCUUCCAGUUGUUUGCCAUCUGACGGGAAGGACACUCCCAAAAGACCACCUGGGAGAUCCUUUGUACAGAAGCAAUUGACCGGUCGAUCUGUGGGAACCCAGGACAGUCCCCAGGACAUUCUGCAAUCACACAUGCUGAUGUACAGUUAACGGAGGUAAUGUACAUAGUUUACCUUUGGAGCAAAUUGGGCUUUCGCCGAGCAUCACAUUUUCCAUAUACGGGGAUCGUGGCGGAGAUGGCCCCACAGUAUGGUGGAUGAGAGGGUGAAGAAAUUUAUGACCAGAGAAAUAGCUCAAAUAGCCCACUGCCAACUUGAAUGGUGAGCAUUUCUCAUUCCACUUCUCUCAGCUGACCCACCCAAUUUACGAGUUGAGGCCAAAGACUUGCUGCAUUAGGAAGAGCCAACUUAUUUGGACCAGUCGAAUUGAAACACGUUAAAGAAAGUUAUGAGUGGUUUUUCAGUGUUUUCCUCGUGGCAUUCUUCAUACAGGAACCCUUUCGUGAAAUAUAAGCAACAAUUGUGUGCAGAUUGUCAUGUGGUGUAACUAAGGUCACUAUUAUUGGUUCCAGAAAAGUGGAGCGGAGCAUUAAACUGGUGUAUAUGUAUAAAGCUUAGUGCCCACGUAUUCAAGUAUGUUAACUCGCAA